AUAUACUGACCCGUAGCCCACAUUGUUACUGAAAAUUCUCCUUCCAAAGUUUUUAUUUGAACCUGUUUUUGUUCCCAUUUCUUCGAUGAUGAAGGCGAAUCAAAGUUCAAUUCUCCAAGUGUUCCAGCACUAACAUAAUUUUUUGAGCGACUUCCUUUCUUUUUACUCCCUUUGCCCUUUCUAUAUGUACAAAUUUCUUCUGUAGAUACUUCUAUUUCAGGCGCAGGAACAGGUAUACUGUCAACAUACACGAGGUUAGGAUCACCGACAACUUCCUCACGAGUUUGUAAAAUUAUUUCUUCCUGUCCAUCUGGCAAGGGUUGUAAAGCUAUCAUAGGUUGCACUUCAAUUGUUUCAUCGGUCGUUUCAACUGUCUCUAUCGGCACUUCAACAGGGAUCGAUUCCACCUCAACUUCUUGAAUUUCAACUUCCGAACCAAUGAUGGACGCCAUGUUGGUAAUGGCGGCCAGCAAGUUUUGUUCGCUGGGGGUCGUAGUUAACUCAUUUGUCACGUGAUAAAAUCAUUCAUGUGUAUCUGAAAGUCGUAAGAUCAUUUUAGAAUAAAGUUAAAUGGUCUGACACAAACGAUUUAUAUUAUAGGAGCAAACAGCUGUUAACAUAUUAAAAGUAUGGGCGCUCAAGUUUCUCAAACGGACUAUGAAUGGGUGUAUACGGAAGAACCACAUGCAACACGAAGAAAAGAAAUAUUGGGUAAGAAUAAAUAAUAUUGAGUGAGACAUGACACCACUGGCACUGCAGUACUAUAUAUAUAUAACUGAGACACCGGUAUCUCCACACCCAUUUUUAAUGUUGUAUAAGGUCUAAAAUUUUACCAGAGACAUAUUAUAUCUGUUUUUACAUGUAGCAAGGAUUUGUAUAUUUUAUUUUAUUAUAAAUAUUAUUGGAUACAACCUUGACUAUAAUUUUUAAUUAUAGUAUAAUAUUUUAUGACUACUGAUUUUUUUUAAAAUCUUAUUAUUUUUCUCAUACUUGUAUACAUGUAGGUUCUUGUGGACAGGACAUUUUUUUAGCCCUUCUUUUUUCUGAAAUUAAUUAUUUUUGAGUAAAUAAAUCACUAUAUUGUCUGAACAUAAAUAUACUAGAAAUGUUCCAUGGAAAAUGGAAAACAAAGCAUGAGAAAUAAAUAUUAGGAAAAAAGUACUAGAUGCUAUUACAGCCAUUUUUGGAGAUCAUGCAUUCAUUAUCAAUGGACAUGUCAGAAGACCCUCUGGUAACCUUUUAGCAUCCGCUAUAAUAUUUUGUAUAUCCGAUUAAGAGUUUGAUUUGUAUAUUAAAUGGCACUCAUUUCCCCUGCAAUAGAUUUGUUUUGCAUUGGUUGUUCUUAUUCAAUUAUUUUACAAUAUAUCUUUGUUUAUAAAAUACAAGUGAAACAUAAUACAUGUACAAAUGUACUUGUAUCAUGUGUAGUGAAGUACUGAUAAUUUAUAACCCUUAACUUAAGAAUAUAUACCCUAACUUAAGAAUGAAUACCCUCAACUUAAGAAUGAAUACCCUAACUUAAGAAUGAAUACCCUUAACUUACGAAUGAAUACCCUAACUUAAGAAUGAAUACCCUAACUUAAGAAUGAAUACCCUAGCCACCACCCUUUUUUCAAGUGCAAAUUUUUAUAUUAAUAUGAAGUGUAAUAUUAAAAUUUUAAAACUGCGAAUUAUCAGGAUUUUUUUUUUUAAUUUUCAUCUAUUGACAGAAUAUUUAACUUCUAUUUGCUAUUUACAGUGGCAGAUCCAGAACUUUUCCUAAGGGGGGGGGGGGGGGGGGCCGCUCAGUCAUGCUUACUGAUUCAAUAAUCAACCAAAUUUUUCCCACGAAAGGGGGCCCGCCCUGGAUCCGCCUAUGAUUUAAAAGCCAAGUUUACAUGCACUUUAAAUUAACAUCACUUAAAGGGCACUGCUGUCAAAUUCAAUGUCACGAUUGAUUCAAAUCUCAUAUUUGAUUUUAACAAUGUAAAACAUUUAUCCAAACUAUCAAAAGUCUAAAAAAAAACAAUUUACAGAGCAGGGUAGAUAAUAUAUAGUUCGUUUGUGUAUUUAAUCCAGAUCCAUCUUAUUAACUAUCGAUUUGACCUCAGAACCAUAUAAACGAUGUAACAUAAAUAAAGAUAUGAAAUAUUAAAACAACACGUGCAAUGGAUUUUAAGGCUGUUUGAUUUUUUUUAUAGAUUAAAAAUAGAUGUUUCUCAUUGUUUUUAACCGUAUAAGAAUGAUUUUAUGUGCAUCGAAUAUAUAGGGUUUACAGAAAAGAAAAGAAAAACUGAGAAAGAAUAUAAAAAAUGGAGUUUAAUAUGAUGCAAAAGUGUAAAGAAAAGCUGUUAAAAAAAGAACUAUAUGUGCAAUAUUGACAAAAAUAUGAUGAAUAGAAUAAUAAAGAUAUAUCAUUAUUAAAUUACAUGAAUAUUUUUAAUAUUAGUACAAUGCAUACAAUCAUUUUAUAAGCAUUUUACAGAAUUGGUAAUAUUUGCAAAGAUUAAGAAAGAUGUAUGAGGAAUUUAAUGAAAGUAGAAACCAAGAACCUCCUAUCCCUACCCUCAUGUGUAUUGCAUGAAUACAUGUAUAUCACAGAGAAAUGAACAUCAUUGUUUACAUUGGUAUUGAAUGUAGUCCCAGCAACAUGUCUAUCAUUGUGUUAUCAAAAGAAAGAAAUUCAAUACAACUAAAUUGAAUUUUUAAUUGCAAGUAUUUGUAGAUAUGCAAAUACUAAAAAAUUAUUCCACAAUCAUAUUGAUUAUGAAGACAUGAAUAUUUUGCCAACACAGUUGAGUACCGCUGCACAAAAAUAAAAUUUGGCCCUAUUUCACAAAAUAUACACAGUGACAAUAGAUUCUGAAAUUAUUAUAAAAAAAAAGAAGCUAAAGUUGAUUGGCUGUUUAUGUAUAAAUAUACCAACUUCAAAUGUUUCAUUUUAGAAUGAACAAAAGAUGAAUAGUUGUAAAUUGAAAUCCCACAAAAGACAUUUUUCUUGUAUUGUCAGAGGUGUUUUCAAUUUCAUACAUACAUUGUGUAAUGGCCUGCACAAACUUGCUAACCUAGUACAUGUGUGCACUCAUGACUGAAUUUAAAUGUCGUCAUUUAUGAUAUGUAUUUGUGUAGACUAUAUCUAGAUAAAACCUGCAUGUCAACAUUGUAAUGCAUGUUUUACAAAUAGUGCUUAAUCUUUGAAUGAAUGGAUAAAGUUUUUAAAGGUAUCACGAAGUACAUUGUAAUAAAUGUAUAAAAGUUUUAAAUAGAUUAAUUUAAAGUUUACACAUUCAUGCCUCUUUAUUAUUUUGUGUUACUGUGUUUUUCCACCUAAAUAAUUCUUCAUAUAUAUAUUAUAUUUGAAUUUGAACAAGGUGAACCAACACCUGAAGUGGUUAUCGUGUGGUUGGGUAAUAGUGAGUGGAUACCUUAAGGUAUUCACAGUUGUCUUUCACUAUGAAAAGUAAAAUAAAACAAUAACAAAGACAACAACACCCAUCAAUUACCGCAUGGUAAGAGUUUAUUAUGGUCCAUAUACUCCAUAAUAAACUCUUACCAUGCGGUAAUUGAUGGGUGUUGUUGUCUUUGUUAUUGUUUUAUAUAUGAUAUAAUAAGAAGACGUGGUAUAAUUGCCAGUGAGACAACUACAUGUAUGUUGCAGCUGUAUUGAUUGAUGAAAGUAACUGAUUCAGAUCAAGGAUUUUGAAAAAGGGGGUUCCUGGCAAGACACAAAUGUUAGGAGUGACAUGUAUAGUUUAUAAAAUUACCCUAUACCAGUAUAUGAACAUAGAUGCUCCUUUGUGGGGGUGGGGGCUUUAUCUAUCUCUGAAUAACAACAAGUAGAUCAUUUAAAACACAAAAUACCAUAAUUAAGUACAUGUGAUGAUAAAUGUACAUGUUCAUGUUAAGUAUACCUAAAGAUAGCUACAAUGUACUGAAAAACCAUUUUUAUCUAACAAAAAAAAUCUAGAUGAAAACAUAGUCUUCAGAUUAUGUAUUUAUAAUUGUUUUUAAUAUGACUAGCUUAAAUACCAUAAUAUUGACAUGAAUAGACAAAACAUUCACUCACUCGGGAUAAAAAAAAAACUGAGAUUACCGGUACUACAAACUAGGGAUAAACACACAGAAAAAUGAGGCAUAAUAACAACUUUCAAAAUCAAUAUACAAUAUAUGAUCUUUAUUUAAAGUAUCAUUUAACAGCAUGGAUUAUUCCUUAUACACUUUUUUACUUACCCUAAUAAUUCAUUCAUUAUAUUCGCUGCUCUUAGAUGGCUCCUACAAGUAGGAGAGAUCAAUUUAGAAAUGGAAAUACUAUUAUUCUGGUACUUUUUUACUUGCUAAGUGUUUUUUUUAUUAUUUACAUUAUUAUAAACUGAUUUCCUGUUAUGAUGAUUUUUUUCAAUUAUUUUUUUCCAGCUAAAUAUCCAGAAGUAAAAAAGCUGAUGGGACAUGAACC
RNAcentral lists this long non-coding RNA (4432 nucleotides) under Mytilus galloprovincialis (Mediterranean mussel). The record is from RNAcentral. Lineage: Eukaryota; Metazoa; Mollusca; Bivalvia; Mytilida; Mytilidae.